Glycine soja is the source of this 822-nucleotide long non-coding RNA. RefSeq lists it as uncharacterized. The record is from RefSeq and is a predicted model, not a curated record. The transcript is spliced from 3 exons. Lineage: Eukaryota; Viridiplantae; Streptophyta; Magnoliopsida; Fabales; Fabaceae.
CACCUCUUGUCUUGGACUUCAAAUUCAAUUGAUCCGUUUCCCAACCCAAAGAAAGAGAGAGAAUGUGGUGGUGGCGGCGGCGGCGUAGAUCUUGAGAACAUCUCCUUCUUCCGAUUUCAUUUUCACCCAAAAGCUUCUCGCUUUCAACAUCACCCUCACCAAAACCCCUCUUCAACGAGCCCUACUCUUCUUCUUUCUCCAUCCCAAUCGAAUGGCCGAGGGUGCACGAACCGCGCAUGCACCCGCCCCGCACCCGAUCCAACCCAAACCCGACGAUAAAACCCCGAAUCCGGUGAAGGAGACUCCGCCGCCGCCGGAGAAACCGGAGCCCGGCGAUUGCUGCGGCAGCGGAUGCGUCCGGGACGUUUACUACGACGAACUCGAAGAUACAAUAAGCUAUACAAACAAGACGAUCCCAGCCCCAAAGCUUCUUCAUAGUCUUCAUCAUCGCAUGGGUGAAAGUGUUAUGGGUCGAUGAUUGUUGGGUUAUUGUCGUCGUCAAUACACCAGCAUGCAUGGCGAUAUAGGGUUUGGGACGACACAUGGUUGGGUUCUGCCAGGCUGUUGGCAAAAAUAGUGGCGUAGGGUAUGGGGAGAGUAGGCUAGAUGCAGGCAUGCAGGUUAGGGAGCAACAACUUUUGACCCAAAGGUUAUUGCCAUUAGGAGUGGCAAAAUAAGGUAAGUUUGGUAUUUGGUUCCCCUUAUAAAAACGCUAUCCUGAACGAACGAAUGAACACAUUCAUCUCUUCAUUCUUGUUGUUACGCAUGUGGUGACAAAAAGUUUUUGUGUGUGAUGUUGUGUUAUUUAGUCCAUAUUUGGUU